This 89-nucleotide transfer RNA is filed under the name Acinetobacter phage vB_AbaM_Acibel004. RNAcentral describes it as "tRNA-Ser". The record is from RNAcentral. Lineage: Duplodnaviria; Heunggongvirae; Uroviricota; Caudoviricetes; Luriaviridae.
AGAGAAUAAAUAGCUUAGGUAGCUAGACUCCCUGCUAAGGAGAUCGACUGAUUAAAUCGGUUUCGUUUCGAGUACGAUGUUCUCUGCCA